RNAcentral lists this ribosomal RNA (468 nucleotides) under uncultured bacterium. RNAcentral's name for it is "partial 16S ribosomal RNA". It matches the Rfam family "Bacterial small subunit ribosomal RNA", at positions 28 to 507 of the family's 1533-position model. The record is from RNAcentral.
GACGAACGCUGGCGGCGUGCUUAACACAUGCAAGUCGAACGGAAAGGCCCUGCUUUUGUGGGGUGCUCGAGUGGCGAACGGGUGAGUAACACGUGAGUAACCUGCCCUUGACUUUGGGAUAACUUCAGGAAACUGGGGCUAAUACCGGAUAGGAGCUCCUGCUGCAUGGUGGGGGUUGGAAAGUUUCGGCGGUUGGGGAUGGACUCGCGGCUUAUCAGCUUGUUGGUGGGGUAGUGGCUUACCAAGGCUUUGACGGGUAGCCGGCCUGAGAGGGUGACCGGCCACAUUGGGACUGAGAUGCGGCCCAGACUCCUACGGGAGGCAGCAGUGGGGAAUAUUGCACAAUGGGCGGAAGCCUGAUGCAACAACGCCGCGUGCGGGAUGACGGCCUUCGGGUUGUAAACCGCUUUCGCCUGUGACGAAGCGUGAGUGACGGUAAUGGGUAAAGAAGCACCGGCUAACUACGUG